GGGGGCGACCUGGAUUCGACGUGGGUCGCGAAACCGGAGGUGCAUGCCGAGGAUGUAGCUGCCCUCGUAAAUCACGCUGCAAAUUUAUAGUUGCCAACGACGACAACUACGCACUCGCCGCUUAAAACCCGGUAGGGGUGCCGUCUGACUGGGGCCGUGCUUGUGCGCCCAGAUACCAGGCGUCGACUCUCACAAGAUCGCGAUGAAGCUCUCCCAGGGCCGACUCGUUAAAACCUAACUGGGAUCGCCGACUGUUUUCCCUGCCCGUCGGGUAGCAGGCGGUUAAACUCAAAGACCGGGAUAAGCAUGUAGAGCCGAAGGCAGAGGACUUGCGGACGCGGGUUCGAUUCCCGCCGCCUCCACCA
RNAcentral lists this transfer-messenger RNA (365 nucleotides) under Acidihalobacter prosperus. Its description in RNAcentral is "Standard tmRNA". It matches the Rfam family "transfer-messenger RNA". Rfam says of the family: Bacterial tmRNA, also known as 10Sa RNA or SsrA, is named for its dual tRNA and mRNA-like properties. Its role is to liberate the mRNA from a stalled ribosome. The record is from Rfam by way of RNAcentral. Lineage: Bacteria; Pseudomonadati; Pseudomonadota; Gammaproteobacteria; Chromatiales; Ectothiorhodospiraceae.